UUCCGGUUGAUCCUGCCGGACCCCACUGCUAUCGGGGUGGGACUAAAACAUGCGAGUCGAGCGCCUUCAAGCUAUGGUGAAGGCGCGGCGAACGGCUCAGUAACACGUGGCUAACCUACCCUUUGGACGGGGACAACCCCGGGAAACUGGGCCUAAUCCCCGAUAGAUGAGAAGUCCUGGAAUGGUUUCUCAUCUAAAAGGUGUUUAGAGCAUGCUUCUAGGCGUCGCCAAAGGAUGGGGCCGCGGCCGAUCAGGUUGUUGGUGAGGUAACGGCUCACCAAGCCUAUAACCGGUACGGGCCGUGAGAGCGGGAGCCCGGAGAUGGGCACUGAGAUAAGGGCCCAGGCCCUACGGGGCGCAGCAGUUGCGAAAACUCCGCAAUGCGCGAAAGCGUGACGGGGCUACCCCGAGUGCCGUCCGCUGAGGACGGCUUUUCCACGGUGUAAGGAGCCGUGGGAAUAAGGAGAGGGCAAGACUGGUGUCAGCCGCCGCGGUAAUACCAGCUCUCCGAGUGGUGGGGACGAUUAUUGGGCUUAAAGCGUUCGUAGCCGGCUCAGCAAGUCUUCCGUUAAAUCCAGCGAUCUAAUCGUUGGACUGCGGGAGAUACUGUUGGGCUAGGGGGCGGGAGAAGCCGACGGUAUUCUCGGGGUAGGGGUGAAAUCCUAUAAUCCCUGGAAGACCACCAGUGGCGAAGGCGGUCGGCUAGAACGCGCCCGACGGUGAGGGACGAAAGCUGGGGGAGCGAACCGGAUUAGAUACCCGGGUAGUCCCAGCUGUAAACGAUGCGGGCUAGGUGUUGGGGCGGCCACGAGCCGCUUCAGUGCCGCACGGAAGCAAUUAAGCCCGCCGCCUGGGGAGUACGGCCGCAAGGCUGAAACUUAAAGGAAUUGGCGGGGG
This 897-nucleotide ribosomal RNA is filed under the name uncultured archaeon. RNAcentral's name for it is "bacterial SSU rRNA". It matches the Rfam family "Archaeal small subunit ribosomal RNA", at positions 1 to 874 of the family's 1478-position model. The record is from RNAcentral.